AGUGAACGCUGGCGGUAGGCCUAACACAUGCAAGUCGAACGGCAGCACAGUACGGGCUUGCUCUUACGGGUGGCGAGUGGCGGACGGGUGAGGAAUACAUCGGAAUCUACUUUUUCGUGGGGGUUAACGUAGGGAAACUUACGCUAAUACCGCAUACGACCUACGGGUGAAAGCAGGGGAUCUUCGGACCUUGCGCGAUUGAAUGCGCCGAUGUCGGAUUAGCUAGUUGGCGGGGUAAAGGCCCACCAAGGCGCCGAUCCGUAGCUGGUCUGAGAGGAUGAUCAGCCGCACUGGAGCGUGAACGCGGUCCAUGGUCCUACGAGAGGCAGCAGUGUGGAAUGUUGGGCAAUAGGCGCAAGCCUGAUCCAGCCAUACCGCGUGGGUGAAGAAGGCCUUCGGUUUGUAAAGCCCGUUUGUUGGGAAAGAAAAGCAGCAGGUUAAUACCCCGCUGUUCUGACGGUACCCAAAGAAUAAGCACCGGCUAACUUCGUG
This 492-nucleotide ribosomal RNA is filed under the name uncultured bacterium. RNAcentral's name for it is "partial 16S ribosomal RNA". It matches the Rfam family "Bacterial small subunit ribosomal RNA", at positions 29 to 507 of the family's 1533-position model. The record is from RNAcentral.